Molecule: ribosomal RNA, 910 nt
Filed under: uncultured bacterium
Lineage: Bacteria
Description: bacterial SSU rRNA
Rfam family: Bacterial small subunit ribosomal RNA
Source: RNAcentral
AGAGUUUGAUCCUGGCUCAGGAUGAACGCUAGCGGCAGGCUUAAUACAUGCAAGUCGAGGGGUAACAGGGAAGCUUGCUUCCGCUGACGACCGGCGCACGGGUGCGUAACACGUAUGCAACCUACCUUUAACUGGGGAAUAGCCCCGAGAAAUCGGGAUUAAUACCCCAUAAUAUUCAUCUUUCGCAUGUCUGAUGAAUUAAAACUCCGGUGGUUAAAGAUGGGCAUGCGCGACAUUAGUUAGUUGGUGAGGUAACGGCUCACCAAGACCGCGAUGUCUAGGGGUUCUGAGAGGAAUAUCCCCCACACUGGUACUGAGACACGGACCAGACUCCUACGGGAGGCAGCAGUAAGGAAUAUUGGUCAAUGGGCGAAAGCCUGAACCAGCCAUGCCGCGUGCAGGAUGACGGCCCUAUGGGUUGUAAACUGCUUUUAUGUAGGAAGAAACUCCUGUACGUGUACAGGACUGACGGUACUACACGAAUAAGGACCGGCUAACUCCGUGCCAGCAGCCGCGGUAAUACGGAGGGUCCAAGCGUUAUCCGGAUUCAUUGGGUUUAAAGGGUGCGCAGGCGGACCGAUAAGUCAGUGGUGAAAUCCUACAGCUCAACUGUAGAACUGCCAUUGAAACUGUCGAUCUUGAGUAUAGUUGAAGUGGGCGGAAUGUAUCAUGUAGCGGUGAAAUGCAUAGAUAUGAUACAGAACUCCGAUAGCGAAGGCAGCUCACUAACCUAUAACUGACGCUCAGGCACGAAAGCGUGGGGAGCAAACAGGAUUAGAUACCCUGGUAGUCCACGCCGUAAACGAUGAUCACUCGUUGUUGGCAAUACAUCGUCAGCGACUGAACGAAAGCAUUAAGUGAUCCACCUGGGAAGUACGAUCGCAAGGUUGAAACUCAAAUGAAUUGACGG